UUGGUGAACCAGCGGAGGGAUCAUUACCGAGUUUACAACUCCCAAACCCCUGUGAACAUACCAAUUGUUGCCUCGGCGGAUCAGCCCGCUCCCGGUAAAACGGGACGGCCCGCCAGAGGACCCCUAAACUCUGUUUCUAUAUGUAACUUCUGAGUAAAACCAUAAAUAAAUCAAAACUUUCAACAACGGAUCUCUUGGUUCUGGCAUCGAUGAAGAACGCAGCAAAAUGCGAUAAGUAAUGUGAAUUGCAGAAUUCAGUGAAUCAUCGAAUCUUUGAACGCACAUUGCGCCCGCCAGUAUUCUGGCGGGCAUGCCUGUUCGAGCGUCAUUUCAACCCUCAAGCCCAGCUUGGUGUUGGGACUCGCGAGUUAAACCGCGUUCCCCAAAUUGAUUGGCGGUCACGUCGAGCUUCCAUAGCGUAGUAGUAAAACCCUCGUUACUGGUAAUCGUCGCGGCCACGCCGUUAAACCCCAACUUCUGAAUGUUGACCUCG
Molecule: ribosomal RNA, 493 nt
Filed under: Fusarium sp. 2 FLS-2010
Lineage: Eukaryota; Fungi; Ascomycota; Sordariomycetes; Hypocreales; Nectriaceae
Description: eukaryotic LSU rRNA
Rfam family: 5.8S ribosomal RNA (bases 175-328)
Source: RNAcentral